RNAcentral lists this ribosomal RNA (256 nucleotides) under uncultured bacterium. RNAcentral's name for it is "partial 16S ribosomal RNA". It matches the Rfam family "Bacterial small subunit ribosomal RNA", at positions 521 to 776 of the family's 1533-position model. The record is from RNAcentral.
UAAUACGGAGGGUGCAAGCGUUGUCCGGAUUUAUUGGGUUUAAAGGGUGCGCAGGUGGUUUAUUAAGUCAGUGGUGAAAGACGGUCGCUCAACGAUUGCAGUGCCAUUGAAACUGGUAGACUUGAGUAAAGUAGAGGUGGGCGGAAUUGAUAGUGUAGCGGUGAAAUGCAUAGAUAUUAUCAAGAACUCCAAUUGCGUAGGCAGCUCACUUGGCUUUUACUGACACUCAUGCACGAAAGUGUGGGUAUCAAACAGG